GACGAACGCUGGCGGCGUGCUUAACACAUGCAAGUCGAACGGAAAGGCCCUGCUUUUGUGGGGUGCUCGAGUGGCGAACGGGUGAGUAACACGUGAGUAACCUGCCCUUGACUUUGGGAUAACUUCAGGAAACUGGGGCUAAUACCGGAUAGGAGCUCCUGCUGCAUGGUGGGGGUUGGAAAGUUUCGGCGGUUGGGGAUGGACUCGCGGCUUAUCAGCUUGUUGGUGGGGUAGUGGCUUACCAAGGCUUUGACGGGUAGCCGGCCUGAGAGGGUGACCGGCCACAUUGGGACUGAGAGACGGCCCAGACGCCUACGGGAGGCAGCAGUGGGGAAUAUUGCACAAUGGGCGGAAGCCUGAUGCAGCAACGCCGCGUGCGGGAUGACGGCCUUCGGGUUGUAAACCGAUUUCGCCUGUGAUGAAGCGUGAGUGACGGUAAUGGGUAAAGAAGCACCGGCUAACUACGUG
Molecule: ribosomal RNA, 468 nt
Filed under: uncultured bacterium
Lineage: Bacteria
Description: partial 16S ribosomal RNA
Rfam family: Bacterial small subunit ribosomal RNA
Source: RNAcentral